RNAcentral lists this ribosomal RNA (459 nucleotides) under uncultured bacterium. RNAcentral's name for it is "partial 16S ribosomal RNA". It matches the Rfam family "Bacterial small subunit ribosomal RNA", at positions 338 to 795 of the family's 1533-position model. The record is from RNAcentral.
CCUACGGGGGGCUGCAGUGAGGAAUAUUGGUCAAUGGCCGUAAGGCUGAACCAGCCAAGUAGCGUGAGGGAAGACUGCCCUAUGGGUUGUAAACCUCUUUUAUGCGGGGAUAAAGGUGUCCACGUGUGGAUGUUUGCAGGUACCGCAUGAAUAAGGACCGGCUAACUCCGUGCCAGCAGCCGCGGUAAUACGGAGGAUCCGGGCGUUAUCCGGAUUUAUUGGGUUUAAAGGGUGCGCAGGCGGAGGUGCAAGUCAGUGGUCAAAUUGCGGGGCUCAACCCCGUACUGCCGCUGAAACUGCAUCCCUUGAGUGCGCGGGAAGCAGGCGGAAUGCGUGGUGUAGCGGUGAAAUGCAUAGAUAGCACGAAGAACCCCGAUUGCGAAGGCAGCAUACCGGCGCGGAACUGACGCUCAUGCACGAAAGCGCGGGUAUCGAACAGGAUUAGAUACCCUGGUAGUC